This 326-nucleotide unclassified non-coding RNA is filed under the name Hevea brasiliensis (rubber tree). The record is from RNAcentral. Lineage: Eukaryota; Viridiplantae; Streptophyta; Magnoliopsida; Malpighiales; Euphorbiaceae.
GAACAUAUUCUCGAGAUAAAUUUCUCCAAACUUUAUGAGAACAGUUUACAAAAGGGAAGAAUCUAUGUACAAGAAAAUUGCUUUUUCAUAUCUUCAAAGUCGACCAAUUUACGAAUUAUUGAGAGAACAAUCUUAGCAGUGGAAUAAGAUAAAAUCAUAGCAGUGAGAAAGAAAAUUGCUCGAGUAUUUCUGUAGAGAAUGAUCAUAUCAAAUAGGAAUUAGGAGAAAAAUUAUAAAGAUUAUUGAUGCUUCAAUACGAAAGAGAGUAACUUAAAUUCCUAGAAGAGAAAAGAUUUAGAAAGUGUUGUGGCAGAGCCACAACCCAA